CGGUGUUGGAUGUUGAGUUCCCGAAGGAUCCUGAAAAAGGACAUUGUAAAGGACUUGCGUAUAUUGAAUUUGAUAAACUUGAGCAUGCAAAGACAGCAGCACAACGUUUAAAUGGGACAGAGAUAGCUGGGCAGACUAUUAAGAUAUUAUCAUGUGCUGAUUAUUUUAAGGCACAACGCCAGGGAAAAAAAGCAGCAGGUUUGCUACCCUAGGAGUAAGAUGCCAAAUUCAAAAGUGCAGUUUGAUCAUGUUGACAUCUCUCUGCUGCACGAUAAUUUCAGCCUCAAAUUCAUUGCCAACUUUUGCUUUUAUAGGUUAUUUCCUUGUGUGGGGUACAUACUACAGUUCUGCUUCAUAUGUAUGAUGAUCCCUAAGUUGUUCUUUUGGCCUCAGCAGAUCAUAUCUAAUGUUUAUGCAUCUAUCUGAAUUUUAAUUUAGAUGAAGUCAAAUAUUUUGAA
Long non-coding RNA from Erigeron canadensis, 458 nucleotides. RefSeq lists it as uncharacterized. The transcript is spliced from 4 exons. The record is from RefSeq and is a predicted model, not a curated record. NCBI's taxonomy places the organism in Eukaryota, Viridiplantae, Streptophyta, Magnoliopsida, Asterales, Asteraceae.